This 67-nucleotide transfer RNA is filed under the name Glaresis sp. GLA01. Its description in RNAcentral is "tRNA-Asp". It matches the Rfam family "tRNA". From Rfam's summary of the family: Transfer RNA (tRNA) molecules are approximately 80 nucleotides in length. Their secondary structure includes four short double-helical elements and three loops (D, anti-codon, and T loops). Lineage: Eukaryota; Metazoa; Arthropoda; Insecta; Coleoptera; Glaresidae. The record is from RNAcentral.
AAAAAUUUAGUUAAAUUUAUAACAUUAGUUUGUCAAACUAAAGUUACUUCAUUAUCAGUAAUUUUUA